This is a long non-coding RNA of Carassius gibelio (silver crucian carp), 411 nucleotides long. RefSeq lists it as uncharacterized. Lineage: Eukaryota; Metazoa; Chordata; Actinopteri; Cypriniformes; Cyprinidae. The transcript has 3 exons. The record is from RefSeq and is a predicted model, not a curated record.
CUUUGUAACCAGUGACUGCCCGUUCUGCAGAGAGCAGUUUGGUUUUCCAUUCCGUCCCAACAAGUCCUUCAGUCACCGCCUGCUCUACUGACAGCUUUUUAUUCUUCACUGGGUCAAUAAUAAAACCAGUGGCAGCCUGAGCUUCAAGCAAAACCAGAGAUGUUCCAGGUGUCAGAAGUCCCUUAUUUUUGGCAUUGAAGAUGCUCAUGGUUUGUUUGGUAGACUGUACAAACACACCAGCGAUGCUAUUUGUUCCUUUCAGGUAUUUUCGCACAGAGUCCAUUUCACUUACGUGAUCAACUGUUACUUUUCCGGAAGUUAGGUCUUUGUAAAUUUUCUCAUCAAUGACUUUGGAUUUCCACAACUCAUCAGCGCUCACAUCCUUUCUGAUACCUUUAAAUGUUUGGUUUU